AUCCCAAAGGAAUAAAGAAGCCACCUGGCCUAAGACCACAGGAGUCUCAGAAACCACACUCUACUUAGGAGGAUGCUGGUGGCUUUUUAGUGGAUGUCUGCAAACGAGGAAGCUUAUGAAACCAAGGCCUCUUUUUAAGGAAAGGGGAAGUUGGUUCUAUUUUAAAAUCUAUCUUCCUUAUUAGUUACAAAGAUUGUUUUCACUGAAUAUGCCCUGAAAUGGGAAGAAGGUGAGAAGAGGAGAAAUGGAGGGCAGAAGUGGUUGUCUAAGUAAACCAAAAAAAAUUUCCAAAUAAGAAUUUCAGAGAAUAAGUUACCAUCGUCUGUUCUUUUCCCUCAAUAGGAAUGUUCAUUUUUCAUUGUCUGCUAGGAAAAGUCUCAGUGAAUCUGUUUCAUUCACUGUAAAUGACUGGUGGUAAUCACAACGUGGAUGUUUGCUGGGUCUGUUGGUUUUAUGCGAAGGUGAACAGUAAUCUCUGGUGUGGUGGUGGAUUGCCACUGGGAUGUGCACAUGCCUAUUUAUGGCAUUUGUAGUUUCUGUUGGCAAGGACACUUUUUUUUUUUCUUUUUAACCUUCCUGGGAAUUAAGAUCAUCUAAUGAGAAACUUUGGAGCCAGACUGCCUAAGUUUGAAUACUAACAUUACCACUGUAAUGACACUGGGCAAGUUCGUUAACUUUACAAAUUCUUUUUUUUUUAAUCUAUAAAAUAAGGUUAGUAAUAUCAAAUUUAUAACAUAUUAGGAGAUACUGGGAUGUAAAGUGCCUGGCAUGUAUGGAUGAUUAACAGAUAUUAGUGUCAAAAGAUGCACUGAUUUCAUUUCCCAUCGGUUUUUACCUCUCUGGGGGACUGUGGCUGGAUGUAGGUCUUAUAAAGCUUCUUUGCCAUAGAAACUCUGCUCCACCGUGAGGCAAUUUUCUUAUAGGUUUCACAUGCCUUCCAGAAUUUAAUGUUCUCAUCACUGUGCUCCAUUUUUAAGUAUGCUGCAUAGACUACUGGACCAUCUAAAAGUAGUAGAGAAAUCAGUUUAUUUUUAUAGUUAAAAUUAUCAGAAAGUCUGAACAAUAUUUAAAAUGCAGCUUAAAACAAAAGUCUGAAUAUAAUCUCCCUAAUUAUUUAUCAAGCUUAAAACAAAAGUCUGAAUAAAAUCUCCCUAAUUAUUUAUCAAGUGAGUGUUUCAUAUCCAUAUCUGUAUCUAUCACACUCUUAAAUCUAUACAUCUGAGGCACAUUCAAACAAUCCAGUCAUCGGUGAGGUUAUCUCUUCAUUCUGAGUCACUCAGAGGAAAUUUCUCACCACUGUGGAUGGGUCUAUGACACAUAGGACAGGAGAUGUCACAGGGACCUAGAAAAAAGGCUUAAGCUGGGCAGGUAGGAAGAGCUCUGAUCAUGAUAAGAGAAAGCUAAGAACUCAAGCCAAACCGGUGGGUAAGAGCAGAGUGUAGAUUCUAAAAAGACAGGGCAGGGUUGGAAGAAAACUAUUCAAGCCAUGUGGAAGUGAUAUUCUUAUCAGGUUGUACAGCCUGAAGUGUUUCUGAAUAGGCAGUCAGUGCAGGAGAACACAGAUGAAAAUUAAGCUUCUUAUUCAUGGUUUAUGGUUCACAUCAGAAAUAGGGACCAGGCAAGGAAUGGAAUUCAGAUAGGAUAUUGGAAACUAUCUUGGAAUCUAGUACAGGGCAGUGAUUAUGUGGAGCAUGAUCAUCAAAUGACACUUGAUGUCAAGAUAGUUAUCCUCAGGUCUGGUCUUAAACUGCCUUUCUGGAAUGAGUAUAUAAGGACAAAGGUUGCAUGAGCUUUUCUUGAUUGUGGCACUAUUUUCUAGGAACUUCUGUUUGAAGAAGACAGCUUUCAAAAAUCUAACACAUGAAUCAGAAUUUUUGGGAAGACCAAGUACUCUCAAGGUUCACCAUGAAUACUUCGAGAUUAAUAUUAAACUUCUUUUGGUGUCUAUGAAGUCUGUUGACAUGCCUGAGCAAUCAAAUUGUUAAAUGACAAAACAACAAAGUAACUUUCUUUUCUUUUUCUUUUUCUUUUUUUGAUAUGGGGAAUUGAACCCAGGGAUGCUUAACCACUGAGCCACAUUUCCAGCCCUUUUUGAGAUGGGUCUUGUUAAAUUGCCUAGGGCCUGACUAAGUUGCUGAGGCUGGCUUUGAAUUUGCAACCAUAUAUACCACAUAAAAUAUAGUUAGCAUAGAUGCUUGAUGUGACAGCUUGCAGUAUUAUUCUCAGUUUUUCCCUUCCCUUCCUGCCUCAGCCUUCAGAAUUAUCUCAUCCUCUGGGAUUACAGGCAGAUGCCACUGCACCCAGCCAAAGUAACUUUUGAUAGAAAUGUGUGUAUAGACACGCUGAAUCCAUGACCAUUUAGACCCUGACUGCUAUCAUAGGAUUCUUUUUUUUUCCUAUUACAAAAAUCUGUGCAUAAUUUAAUGUGUACAACCUGAUGUGUUUGAAGUUAAGUGUAUACCUAUGAAACUGUCACCAUAAUCAAAGCCAUAAACAUAUCCAGAAAGUGAAAAGGGAUUUUGAUUAAUAAAACAUUGGUCAGUAGCAUUAACUAUUUGAAAAGUAAGCAUAAUUAAAUGGAAUGGAAAUAAUGAGUAAUCUAAUCAUGUUUUCCUCUAAGAGCUUAGAUCAAAUUUUCUAACACGAGAAAGUCAGACUUUUUGACUUCUUGGUUUCUAAUUACUCUGUCAGAAAUGAUACAGGAAUAAAGAUAACAAAGUAAUUUGUAUUCAAGAAAAAAAAAACUCAAAUAGAGGUAUAUACCUUCUAUGGAGGCAGUAUGGUUAUGGAAAGUUGGUAAUCUGCAAGAAAUAUAACAUCCUAAUAAUACACAAACUUAGACCAUGGCUUAAUAUUGUCAUGUGAGCAUAUGCAGCCUUCCUGAAAUUGGGCAGUAAGUUAUUUGACAGGAAUAUUACCUCAAUAUGGAGGACAUAUGAGAUGGGAGCAGAGCAUAUAUAGGUAUGUGACAUAGGAAAUGACAUAGACUAGAUGUUCCUGCCGAAAGGGGGAAUAUAUUUAAACUUAGAUUUCAAACAAAAAAUUUAUUUUCAUGCUAAAGUGACUUUAAAUUGUACCUUGCCUUACCAUAGGCACAGGAAAUGGAGCAGAGAACACAUGUAGCAACUGACCCUCCUAUUAAGGAAAUAGGCGAAUGAGUGGGAAAAGCAAAACAAACAAACAAACAAAUAAAAAAAACAACCAAAAAUUUAUUUCUGGUUUAACAUGUUAAGUUCAAGCUAGUGUUUUUCAGAAUAUAUUGAAAGAAACAGCUGUAUUUAAAAAUGAAUAAGCAUAUAGUUUGUAAUAAGAGAAAGUUUGACUUAAUGCUUAGUUAGGAACAGAAAAUAAGGUCCUUAAAAUAAAAAUUAAGAAAUGAGCUAGUGAAUAGGAAAAGAAAGAGCAUAUGUGAGACAGACAGAGAGACAAACAGACACCUGGUAAAAAUCCAUAGAUCAUGGAAUGAGAGUCAGCCAUAGUUCCUAGAGUGAUAAGUGGGUGGGGUGGAAAGAUGAUCUGGAAACCCCUAUUAGAUUCCACAUUGUAAUAUUCAGAUUUGUGUUUAUGUUUUGCUUGAUUUUGUAUUAAAAUGUUUAUGGAUUGUCAUUUUAGAGCCCACCUGCAUUUACACCUGCCUUCCUCGCUUCCCUCCUGAUGGAGAAGAAUGAGUUUCUGCUUCUUUUGAGGUUUGCCUAAUGUUUCCACAAUUCUCAAGACCUUUGCUAAUGAAGUAAUCUAUGUGUUGCUCUAUAUAGUUUUUAUGUUUUCUGAGUGAUCAUUUCCAUAUAUACUAUAUAAAAUAUAGUUAGCAUAGAUGCUUGAUGUGACAGCUUGCAGUAUUAUUCUCAGUUUUUCCCUGCCCUUCCUCUAAAGGCAUUAUAUUUCCCUAUCCCAUUUACAUCUGCACUGGCCAUUGAACUUGUGCUAGUCAAUAAAAUACAUGCAAAAGUGCUGUGUGUAGUUCCGAGAGAAUGGUUUAAGAACCCUCAUGUGGUUGGUUCUGCUUCUCCCUUCCUUAUGAAGAGAAUGUAUCCUAGAAAAAAAGCUGCUCAUUUAGCCUAAAGGCUGGAAUGAGGACAGAGAAAAGAGUGAGAGCUGACCUUAGUUGCUGUGUAUCAUGAGCAAGGAAGGGACCUUUCUUACUGUAACUCAUCGGGAUUUUAAUGUCAUUUGUUACUCUAUCAUAACUUAGCAGAAGCUGACCUGGAUGACUCGAACCCAUCUGAUAUUUCAGAUGUGAUUCUGAUGCGUGGAAUGAGUAGACUUAUGUGAUUGGUAUGUUUUGCAGAAUUCUGUAUACAUUAGGUUAAUUUUUGUCUGAGUAUGCUACAUGUUAUCCAAACAAGCCGCUGAGAGUGCAUUUAUGUAAAACUGUUUCAGGAAUCAUAGUAAAUAUUAAAUUCAUACUUAAAUUACCAGUUUAGAAUUUGGUUGAUGCAUGUACCACAUGAAUCAUAAUGUAAAAAAGUCUUUCCCAAAUCAGACAAUCGAACCCAAUGUGGCCCAUUCUGAAUCUUUAAAUUACAAUCAUUCCUGAGCACUAUGCUCAGGAGACCAUGAUUCUGCUGCAGAAGAGUGAUUCAAGGCUAAGCAACAGAAUUGCUCACUUAAGUUGAGAGGGUGGCAGAAAUAGGUUUAUGGCAUAUGUGGGGUAUACCUUUUCCUUGAAGAAUCAGAGUGUUGCUUUUGGAAAUCUCUAACUUGCCCUUUUAAAAGUAGUCACUAAAAUUAGUACUCCUAUGACACACAAGAUGACACAUGACAUCGUUUCUUGAUGCAGUAGAAAAACAUGGAAUUUCUUUCUUUUUUUAAGUUGUUGAUGAACCUUUAUUUUUAUUUAUUUAUAUGUGGUGCUAAGAAUUGAACCCAGUGCCUCACACUUGCUAGGCAAGUGCUUUACCACUGAGCCACAACCCCAGCCCAUGGAAUUUCUUGACUGAAUCAGAAUGGUGGUCUAUCUUAUUCCAGGAUCAUGUUUUUCUGUAAGAUGUCAAGUCUUGUACCAUGUAUUAAGUCCUAAAAGUGAGCUAUGUCCAUUAGAAAUAUGUCCAAACCAAUUUUAAAUUCACCUUUUAAUUUUAAAUCUGUAUCACUGGAGAUAUAAUAAAUUCCAUAAUUCUACCAGAAUCUGUGUGAAGUUUUAUAGUAAAUCUUCCUGUUUUAUUAAAAUUUUCUGGUUUGGUUUCUAGGAUAUUAAUCAUUUCUAAUCUUGCUCCUACUUUUUCUUUGCUGUGUUAUUAUAAAAGUAGUUUAAAAUGCUAUGUUAUUAACACAGAAAAUAUCUAAUAAAG
Molecule: long non-coding RNA, 5291 nt
Filed under: Marmota monax (woodchuck)
Lineage: Eukaryota; Metazoa; Chordata; Mammalia; Rodentia; Sciuridae
Source: RNAcentral